RNAcentral lists this non-coding RNA (76 nucleotides) under Acidobacteriota bacterium. Lineage: Bacteria; Pseudomonadati; Acidobacteriota. The record is from RNAcentral.
AUUGAAAAACGUGGUGAGUUAAGGCGACUUGCGGCCACGCAAAACAAGCAGCUAAACAGCUCGGUAGCGUUUCCCC